RNAcentral lists this unclassified non-coding RNA (20 nucleotides) under Mus musculus (house mouse). RNAcentral describes it as "oocyte_clustered_small_RNA7076". The record is from RNAcentral. Lineage: Eukaryota; Metazoa; Chordata; Mammalia; Rodentia; Muridae.
GGAUUGAACUACAGCUGCGU